Molecule: ribosomal RNA, 303 nt
Filed under: uncultured bacterium
Lineage: Bacteria
Description: bacterial SSU rRNA
Rfam family: Bacterial small subunit ribosomal RNA
Source: RNAcentral
UGGGGGAUAUUGCACAAUGGGGGAAACCCUGAUGCAGCGACGCCGCGUGGGUGAAGAAGUAUUUCGGUAUGUAAAGCCCUAUCAGCAGGGAAGAAAGAAGACGGUACCUGACUAAGAAGCCCCGGCUAACUACGUGCCAGCAGCCGCGGUAAUACGUAGGGGGCGAGCGUUAUCCGGAUUCACUGGGUGUAAAGGGAGCGUAGACGGCCGUGCAAGCCAGGAGUGAAAGCCCGGGGCCCAACCCCGGGACUGCUCUUGGAACUGUGCGGCUGGAGUGCGGGAGGGGCAGGCGGAAUUCCUGGU